This 200-nucleotide long non-coding RNA is filed under the name Vigna radiata. RNAcentral describes it as "long non-coding RNA (VRAD_LNC012305)". The record is from RNAcentral. Lineage: Eukaryota; Viridiplantae; Streptophyta; Magnoliopsida; Fabales; Fabaceae.
GGGAGGUUAUUGGAGGUUUAAAGGAAAGAAGGAAACAAAGGGCGGGAAGCUGAAGAAGAAAACUUCUAGUCACACAUGUUUUAUCAAACUCUCAAUUAAUACAUCGAAGCCUAGUAGAAUUCGACGUAUAGUUUUUAAGUUGAGGAGUUAAAGACUCUACAUUGUGAAAGACGUUACGAGAAGAAAAGAGAAGGUUGCCC